UGUUGCAUUUGCCCUCCUCCACUGGAAGCUGUACAGACGGUGGCUGCUACCCUUGGGAAUGCUGCCUGCGUCCAGGCACCGGGCCAGAGGAGCUAGAAAGUGCACUGCUACUUUUACCCCAGUUCAUCCUCACAUGAGUCCCAGCAGGCACCUUUACCAGGUUGGUACUGAGGUGAGGAAGAGAAGGGAAAUCUCCAGGCAAGGCAGGUGCUCCAGGGCAGCCGGACCCUGAGGCUGCAGGGAGCAGGCCACCCGCUCAGGUCACCUCAGCAGGCCUGUUGGGCAGCUGGCAGUGUUUCUCAUGCUCAGGGUCCAGCCCACAGGUGGGUAUCCUCUCUAGUCCCUGCCACGUGCCCUGGGACUGAGCCCCUCUCCCACUGCAUUGUCCAUAGGGAGCACUGUGUUAACCAGUCACCUCCUGGCACCAGGCUGCCUCGUCCUUAGGUCCCAUGCACGCGGCAGCCUCUGCUUCAGCCAGUGUGAUGGAGCCGGGUGACGACACAACAGGCAGCUUCCUCGGAACAAAAGGCCACAGGCAUGAUGGAUGCUUAAGAGAUUCAUGAUCUGAUGAGGACUCCUUCUUACCAUCACUUGCCUAUCUUAAACACGAAAGAGGUCUAACAUAAAGUCCCUAUUUAUAAUGAGGCUUGUGGGUCACGCCAAGCAGAAGCUCCAAGCUCCCUUUCACACGUCUACCUCUACUUCCUUAUGCACACCCAUGUCCAAAUUGAGGCAGACUACUGGCCGUUUCCAUCCUUUACUUCCAUUCCCUCUGCCAAACUCCUGCCUGGAGACCAGCCAUGCCCAGUAGAACUUUCUAUAGCGAUGGAAAUAUUUUCUCCCUGUGCUGUGCAAUAUGGUAGCCAAUGGCCACAUGUGGCCACUGAGCCCUAGAAAUGUGGCUGGUGUGACUGAAGAAUUGAAUUCUUAAUUUAAUCUCAAUUAACUUAAAUUUAAAUAGCCACAUGUGGCUGGUGGCUACCGUCUUACACAGUUCUAGACCAUCCACGAAAUAGUCUCUGCCCUUCUGUUCUCCACACUGAAGAGACCUCUCCCUCUUCCAGCAUUUCACUCCCACCCCUUUUCUAGCAUUUUCCAGAGUCUGGCUAGCAACCCCCCACAGGUCAAAUAGUCAUAUAGCAAACACAAUUAUAGGUUGGUCAGUUAACCAUCCUGGGCCUCAGCUUCCUCAUCUUUAAAAUGGGGAUAAUAAAACCUGCCAGAGUUGAUAUGAGCAUUAAAUGAGCUCCUUUGGGCAAUUUAUAACAGCCUGGUACUGCUUAGUAAACACUCAACAAAAGGUAGGCAUUAAACCCCACUCAGGUUUGCUGGGAGGAUUACAUGGGAUGCCUGAGAAACUCUUAGCGCCGUGUAGCCCUUGCUGGUGAUUCUGUCCCUGCAGGGAGCUGUCAGCAGGAGAUGAGCACGAGAGAGAGACAGCUUAGACAACAGACCCUGUGCUGACGGGCAAGGGGGUUCAGACCCAGACCAAGUAACUCAAAAGAAAACGGGCUAAAUGCCGUCAGGGAGGUUAAGUUUGUGAGGAAGGAUGCUUGGAGGAGGGAGAAGAUCAGGCCUGCCCUGUGAGGAGUAGAUGGGGCCUGUGUGUGGAGCCUGUAGGAGGCGGGAGGUGAUACUGGAGCUUCCAGCAGAGGGAACACAGCAAGGGGCAAGGGAAGGCAUGGAGUGGAAGAGCAGUGGGAAUAUUUGGGAAUAGGUGAGUUGGCCAUUGUAGGCAAACCCCACAUGCGUGUGAAGGAGUGUGGUGAGAACAGAGCUGGCAGGGAGGCGCGGGCAUGUGGUUCCGGGCUGAGGAAACCAACAUUAUGGGUGGGCAGUGGGGAGCCCGAGAGUAUUACUGAGGAGAGAAGAUCCCCAGGCAGAACCACACUCCAGGAGAUGAGCAGCAGAAGGGACGCAGAGGCCAUGCAGAAGGUGGCUGUGCUGGUCCUAGCAAGGCAAUGGGGAUGAGAAUGAGAGCCCAGCCAGCAGAGAUGGGAGGGAAAAGGGGGGUGCAGAGGGCAGGGGUGUCCCAGGGAGCCUCCGAGGAUCAAGGCUGCAUGAUGAUGGGGGAGCAGGCCACCUCCGGCCACAGGGCCCGUUCCGACAGGACUCUCCCUUGCUGGCUCGGGAGGGAGGUGGCUGCCUUGGACUCCUCAGAGUGCUGACAACAUGCUCAAAAUGAGCGGUAAUUCCGUCUGUCCAAACACUUCCACACAGGAAACCACAGAUCAGAGCAAAAUGCACCAGGCCUCCCCCCAGCUUCAGGCCAUCCGCUGUGCCCCCUCUCCUGCUCUCCGAGCCAGUUCUGGAGAACAGUCCCCAGAGCAGACCUCUCUCCCCUGCCCUCUGGCUGCCUGUGCUUCCAGGGAGCAGAAAGCCUGCCAAGCUGAACCACCCCCUUCAGACAGGCAACACUGUGGGGGCUGUGGUGUGACCACCUCCCCACUGUCCCCCUCUCUCCUCCAGCUACCCUGUCUUCAGGUCAAAGGCACAAUCACUGUGACCUUUGUCCCCAGCGGUUUAGUGAGGUCCUUUCAGAAGGCAGGCAUGGGUAGGACCUUCUCUGAAGCCUGUAUUCUCCUUUGCUCUCUCACUUUUAAGUUAUCUGAGUGCCAGGUAAAAAUACAGAUCUCCCUUCAGAAGGUUCUCUACCCCUGGGUAGAGAAAUAUAAAAUAAAAAUAACCCUGUAAAAAUAACUUAUUAAAAAUAACCCUGUAAGGCUGGAACCCAGCCCCUCCCUGCAUUCCCCUCACCUGGCCUGCAGAGUCACCCUGAAGCCUCCUGCUGGGGCAAAAGCCGCCUGGUGGUGAGACAAAGAGGGCCUUUCAGUCCCCACUAAGCAGCUGUCUCCUGCCCUGGGUCUGGAUGCCUUUGGAGGAAGCAAGGAGAAUGUGAACAUGAAAUAGACACAAACAAAAGGUUUGUCCUAAACAAAGCUGCCUCUCACACACCUGCCAACAGGGAUGGGCCACUCAGAUAAAUC
Molecule: long non-coding RNA, 2987 nt
Organism: Manis pentadactyla (Chinese pangolin)
Lineage: Eukaryota; Metazoa; Chordata; Mammalia; Pholidota; Manidae
Exons: 3
Source: RefSeq, a predicted model, not a curated record